RNAcentral lists this ribosomal RNA (497 nucleotides) under uncultured bacterium. RNAcentral's name for it is "partial 16S ribosomal RNA". It matches the Rfam family "Bacterial small subunit ribosomal RNA", at positions 28 to 507 of the family's 1533-position model. The record is from RNAcentral.
GAUGAACGCUGGCGGCGUGCCUAAUACAUGCAAGUCGAGCGGACAGACGAGGAGCUUGCUCGUCUGACGUUAGCGGCGCACGGGUGAGUCACAUGUGUAUACCCUACCUAUCUGACUGGGAUCAUUUCGGGAAACCGGAGCUAAUACCGGAUAAUAUAUUGAUCCGCGUGGUUCAUUAGUGAAAUACGGCUUUGGUGUCUCUUCUAGAUGCAUCUGCGCCUCUUUAGCUGGUUGGUAAGGUAACGGGCUACCAAGGCGAGGAUGCGUAGCCGAGCUGACGGGGUGGUCGCCCGCACGGGAGGGGGGACACGGUCCAGACGACUGCGGGAGGGAGCAGAAGGGAAUCGUCCGCAAUGGGCGAGAGCAUGACAGAGCGGCGCCGCGUGAGAUAUGGCGGUCUUCGGAUCGUGAAGCUCUGUUAUGGGGGGAGAACAAAUGUGUAAGGAACUAUGCACGUAUUGACGGUAACGAAUCAGAAAGCACCGGCUAACUACGUG